RNAcentral lists this ribosomal RNA (401 nucleotides) under uncultured bacterium. RNAcentral describes it as "bacterial SSU rRNA". It matches the Rfam family "Bacterial small subunit ribosomal RNA", at positions 28 to 430 of the family's 1533-position model. The record is from RNAcentral.
GACGAACGCUGGCGGCGUGCUUAACACAUGCAAGUCGAGCGGUAAGGCCCUUUCGGGGGUACGACGAGCGGCGAACGGGUGAGUAACACGUGGGUGACCUGCCCUCAGCUCUGGGAUAAGCCUGGGAAACCGGGUCUAAUACUGGAUAUGACUCCAUGACGCAUGUUGUGGGGUGGAAAGCCUUGUGCGGCUGAGGAUGGGCCCGCGGCCUAUCAGCUUGUUGGUGGGGUGAUGGCCUACCAAGGCGACGACGGGUAGCCGGCCUGAGAGGGCGACCGGCCACACUGGGACUGAGACACGGCCCAGACUCCUACGGGAGGCAGCAGUGGGGAAUCUUGCGCAAUGGGCGAAAGCCUGACGCAGCGACGCCGCGUGAGGGAUGACGGCCUCGGUGUAACUAC